Long non-coding RNA from Mesocricetus auratus (golden hamster), 1688 nucleotides. RefSeq lists it as uncharacterized. The transcript is spliced from 3 exons. Lineage: Eukaryota; Metazoa; Chordata; Mammalia; Rodentia; Cricetidae. The record is from RefSeq and is a predicted model, not a curated record.
UAAGAUUAUUUAUUAAGGCAGUUUAUAGGAAUUUUUCAGAGAAAAACUAGGAAGAGUAGAAUAAAUAACAGUUUGGAAGUGGAGAGAUUAAAGUUUAGCUGGUACACUUUAAUCGAAGAAACACUGGGAACAAGAUUCUGUAGUCCUGACUUCAGAGGGAACUAAUUAAAAUGGCUAGAUUCUGGCAGGCAUGGGCAUUUCUUCUCCUAUACACAUAUCCUUGUCUUUGUUUUCUAUCAUUAAGUUAAUAUUGAUCAUAAAAUUAUACUUAUGCAGAACUUGUUUGACUUUCUACAUACGAUAGAUUUCCCCUUGAGAUAAAAUUCAUUAACACCCAAAUGCAGAAAUAUUUGCAACACCCUCUCAUUUAAAUCUUGAAUUCCACUUUCUUUAUUAUUCAUGUUUUUUAAAGUUUUGAUAGAAACAUAUAAAAUAUCAAUUUCUUCUUUGCAUCUAUUGAGCAAAAGAUUUGGCUUCAGUACGCAGAAGUUGCUUCAUAAUCUUGAGCUCCACUUUCCUUUUGACAGAGCUUUGAAAACUUCUGUGUUAAUUAUGCUCCCUCUCAGUGGACUCAGGGAAGUAGCAUGUCAGGUAUGUAUUGAAGUCCUUGACUUAAAGAUGUUCAGGAGAGUGAACCAGCAGGUGACUCUUGCACAGUCAGGGGAAGAUGAUUUCCUGCUUUCUGAAGGCCUUUUAAAGGCCAAAACCCUGCACUUCUGUUGAGUGUGUCUGUGCUCUAAGUAGUCCUGUAAAUACCUCUCUUAGUAAAGUGUAUUGUGUUUAGAGAAACAUUUCUAAACACUUUGAGAGUCUCUAAGGGCUUUAGAUUUACUCUGCAGAUGUAACCUCUCAUACAGCCCUCGGCAGAAGAAUCAUGUGUAAGGCAACAGCAGGCAUAGAAUUUGUUCUUGUUCUUAAUCUUCAUAUAAAAAUAUACAUUUUUACUGUGAUUUAAAUAGCUUUAAAUAAGUACUUAAGAAUAAGAAAUAGGAUGUGAUAGAGACCAUCAUUUUAGUUUCUGAGUUUGCUCAACUGGGAAUUUUACUUUGAGAAUGUUAGUUCUUCCUGGUUGGACAUUUUCAUAUCUGCUCUGUGAACAGAAAUUUAACCAAACUCAUCUUUAACUUCUUCCAUUCACAGGGAAAACAUUGUGGUGUCGUGUCUUGUUAGGUUAUUCCUAAUCACACUUAUUUCUCUUCAUUUACUAAGGGAAUCACAGUACUUCUUGUAUAUACAAUACUAUUUUAUUAUAACCAUUGUGACAGGAGUGAAUAUGUUCUAAAGAGAUGCUUAUGCAUCUCCAUAUGGCUAUCAUAAUAUUGAAAUGAUACAUCCCAAGAAAUUGGAAUAUCCCCCAGGAGCAUCACGCUUUAAACACAGUAUCUUGGAUGCCCAGCCACCAAUGAGUCAAUCCAUGUCUUAUUGCCUUGGCUGACUCUGAAGACAUGAAAAGAACCUGGUGAGGUGGUACACACUUUCCAGAGAACUAUGAGACUGAAGCAAAAACUAAAAUGAUGAAGAAAUAGAAACCAAGAUAAAAAACACCAAACACAAAACAAUAACAAAAAUAAACAAUAACAAAUGAUAGAGAGAGAGGAGAAGACAGCUGACUCAACCAUGGGUUUAUCUUAACUCUCAACAAAUGGCUGAUGGAGGCAGAGACAGACACCCACUGCUGUGAACCGAAU